Molecule: ribosomal RNA, 484 nt
Filed under: uncultured bacterium
Lineage: Bacteria
Description: partial 16S ribosomal RNA
Rfam family: Bacterial small subunit ribosomal RNA
Source: RNAcentral
AUUGGACGCUGGCGGAAUGCUUUACACAUGCAAGUCGAACGGCAGCACGGGGGCAACCCUGGUGGCGAGUGGCGAACGGGUGAGUAAUACAUCGGAACGUGCCCGGUCGUGGGGGAUAACGUAGCGAAAGUUACGCUAAUACCGCAUACGAUCUGAGGAUGAAAGCGGGGGACCUUCGGGCCUCGCGCGAUCGGAGCGGCCGAUGUCAGAUUAGGUAGUUGGUGGGGUAAAGGCCUACCAAGCCGACGAUCUGUAGCUGGUCUGAGAGGACGACCAGCCACACUGGGACUGAGACACGGCCCAGACUCCUACGGGAGGCAGCAGUGGGGAAUUUUGGACAAUGGGCGCAAGCCUGAUCCAGCCAUUCCGCGUGCAGGACGAAGGCCUUCGGGUUGUAAACUGCUUUUGUAUGGAACGAAAAGGCUCUGGCUAAUACCUGGGGCUCAUGACGGUACCGUAAGAAUAAGCACCGGCUAACUACGUG